RNAcentral lists this ribosomal RNA (530 nucleotides) under uncultured eukaryote. RNAcentral's name for it is "bacterial LSU rRNA". It matches the Rfam family "Bacterial large subunit ribosomal RNA", at positions 30 to 581 of the family's 2925-position model. The record is from RNAcentral.
GCCUUGGCUCCCGGGGGCGACGAAGGACGCGGUAAGCUGCGAAAAUUUACGGGGAGUUGCAAACGAGCGUUGAUCCGUAAGUGUCCGAAUGGGGCAACCCACUAUGCUGAAGGCAUAGAGACAAUAGUCGCUAACCCCUGAACUGAAACAUCUAAGUAGGGGGAGGAAAAGAAAACAAAAGUGAUUCCGCAAGUAGUGGCGAGCGAACGCGGAAGAGGCCAAACCAGUGGGCGUGCCCACUGGGGGUUGUAGGGCCGCGACAUGGGAUUGCAAAGUUUUAGCGGAACCGUCUGGAAAGUCGGGCCAUAGCGGGUGACAGCCCCGUACGCGAAAGAGACAUGCACCCUAGCGGUACCCUGAGUAGGGCGGGGCCGGAGAAACCCUGUCUGAACCUGGCGGCACCAUCCGCCAAGCCUAAAUACCACCGGGAGACCGAUAGUGAACCAGUACCGUAAGGGAAAGGUGAAAAGAACCCUGAGCAAGGGAGUGAAAAGACCCUAGAAACCGCACGCUUACAAGCGGUAGGACGU